RNAcentral lists this ribosomal RNA (753 nucleotides) under uncultured bacterium. RNAcentral's name for it is "bacterial SSU rRNA". It matches the Rfam family "Bacterial small subunit ribosomal RNA", at positions 59 to 804 of the family's 1533-position model. The record is from RNAcentral.
CAGUCGAGGGGUAACGAUGGUGCUUGCACCAGGCGACGACCGGCGCACGGGUGAGUAACGCGUAUGCAACCUACCCAUAACUUGGGGAUAGCCCGGAGAAAUCCGGAUUAAUACCCAAUAAUAUUUUCUUAAGGCAUCUUGAGAAUCUUAAAACUCAGGUGGUUAUGGAUGGGCAUGCGUAGCAUUAGUUUGAUGGUGAGGUAACGGCUCACCAUAUUGACGAUGAUGCUUAGGGGGUCUUAAAGGAUGGUCCCCCACACUGGUACUGAGACACGGACCAGACUCCUACGGGAGGCAGCAGUGAGGAAUAUUGGUCAAUGGAGGAAACUCUGAACCAGCCAUGCCGCGUGCAGGAUGACGGCCCUACGGGUUGUAAACUGCUUUUAUACGGGAAGAAACCUGAUUACGUGUAAUCAGCUGACGGUACCGUAAGAAUAAGCAUCGGCUAACUCCGUGCCAGCAGCCGCGGUAAUACGGAGGAUGCAAGCGUUAUCCGGAUUUAUUAGGUUUAAAGGGUGCGCAGGCGGGAAAAUAAGUCAGAGGUGAAAUCCUACAGCUUAACUGUAGAACUGCCUUUGAUACUGUUUUUCUUGAGUGUAGUUGAGGUUGGCGGAAUGUGUAGUGUAGCGGUGAAAUGCAUAGAUAUUACACAGAACACCUAUUGCGAAGGCAGCUAACUAAACUAUUACUGACGCUCAUGCACGAAAGCGUGGGGAGCGAACAGGAUUAGAUACCCUGGUAGUCCACGCCGUA